This 400-nucleotide ribosomal RNA is filed under the name uncultured bacterium. RNAcentral describes it as "bacterial SSU rRNA". It matches the Rfam family "Bacterial small subunit ribosomal RNA", at positions 355 to 771 of the family's 1533-position model. The record is from RNAcentral.
UAGGGGAUAUUGCACCAUGGGCGAAAGCCUGAUGCAGCAACGCCGCGUGAGUGAUGAAGGCCCUCGGGUCGUAAAACUCUUUUCAAGAGGAAGAGGAAGGACGGUACUCUUGGAAUAAGCCUCGGCUAACUACGUGCCAGCAGCCGCGGUAACACGUAGGAGGCGAGCGUUAUUCGGAUUUACUGGGCGUAAAGCGCGUGUAGGCGGCUUAUUAAGUUGGAUGUGAAAGCUCCUGGCUUAACUGGGAGAGGACGUUCAAAACUAGUAAGCUUGAGUACGAGAGAGGAAGAAGGAAUGACGGGUGCAGGGGGGAAAUGCGUAGAUAUCCGGAGUAACACCAGUGGCAAAGGGGAGUGUCUGGCUCGAGACGGACGCUCAGACGCGAAAGGUAGGGUAGCAA